Molecule: long non-coding RNA, 1140 nt
Filed under: Drosophila melanogaster (fruit fly)
Lineage: Eukaryota; Metazoa; Arthropoda; Insecta; Diptera; Drosophilidae
Description: long non-coding RNA:CR43836 (Dmel_CR43836)
Source: RNAcentral
AAUCAGAUUGGUCAAAGUGCUGUCAUAAUUCAUCAAUCGAGUUCGCGAAUUGUAUUCUACGGAGUGUUAACAUGUAAAUGUGAUACGGGAAAUAACAAAUAUUCAUUUUAUUCAAACGAGACACAUUAUUUUAAUAAGUUCUUGCAUAAGAAAUCAUAUCGCAACCAGAUACUCAACAUUACCAACAAUUAAAAUGUAGUAGAUAUGCUGAACUGUACACCUUUCGUUGCAGAAGAAACGCGAGCAAGUGAGGCACUGAAUGAAAUGUAAAAGCUAUUAACUCCCUAAUUUAGUUCAUAUGAAAAGUGGCAACCAUGGCCUAAGGCAAUCUAAAUUCCACUGGAAGCACAUUCUUCCAUAAAUGGUUAAUCCGAAAUAGCCAUCCGUUAUACCCGUAAUACCCUGUAGCAAGUAACAUAAGCAGGCGAUGUUUCACCUACAUAGCAAAGUGUACACAGAUAACAUAAACACACCGAACAGAACAGGAAAACAAGAAGGAGCCGAAGGAGAAGGAAUGGUGUGCACGUUCAUUGCAUCAGACGUCUAAAUCGAAAUCGCAACGAAUUCAAUGCUUACUUAACCCACGCCGCAGUGCUAAUUCCGUCAACUUACAUUUAACCGCCCACAAUUUUAGCACUCACAUAUUGCAAGUGGGCGGAUUAUUGUGAUUGGCACCGCCCAGCUGGUGGAGUAGAUGCACUAGUAACGAAACGCUAUCAACCGGAAGUGACGACAACAACGGACAACGCCUAAAAGCAUACUGUGGAAUUUUAUUUCUUUAUUUGUCACGCUUGCUUGAUUUUAUUUUUAAUUAUCCGGCGCUGGCUGUGAAAAUGAAUUCCGCGAAUGGCAAACCAACAUGAACAACCAUAAAGAAAUGCAAAGUCAGCCAAAGCUUUUUUUGUAGGCAAAGGAUGGGUUAAUUAACCCAUCGUCCAGUGGCCAACUAAUCUAAAUGAUUUGUGAGGCGAGGCAAAGCGAAGGAAAGAGUUUUAAAACUAAAUUAAAGGAAGUAAAAGUCGGUAGCGUAAUUUGUCUAUUAGGAUUUUAAUGACAGCAUUGCGUAUACAAUGAUGUAAUUUUAAUGCCACCAACCAGGCGAUAUCUUAACGGUCAUUAUUUGUUAAGUUGCCCCACCAC